RNAcentral lists this ribosomal RNA (425 nucleotides) under uncultured bacterium. Its description in RNAcentral is "bacterial SSU rRNA". It matches the Rfam family "Bacterial small subunit ribosomal RNA", at positions 356 to 773 of the family's 1533-position model. The record is from RNAcentral.
AGGGAAUUUUCCACAAUGGGCGAAAGCCUGAUGGAGCAACGCCGCGUGAACGAUGAAGGUCUUCGGAUUGUAAAGUUCUGUUGUCAGGGACGAAACCGUACCGUUCGAACAGGGCGGUGCCUUGACGGUACCUGACGAGAAAGCCACGGCUAACUACGUGCCAGCAGCCGCGGUAAUACGUAGGUGGCAAGCGUUGUCCGGAAUUAUUGGGCGUAAAGCGCGCGCAGGCGGCUAGGUAAGUCUGAUGUGAAAGCCCGGGGCUCAACCCCGGUGUGCAUUGGAAACUGCUUGGCUUGAGUGCAGAAGAGGAAAGCGGUAUUCCACGUGUAGCGGUGAAAUGCGUAGAGAUGUGGAGGAACACCAGUGGCGAAGGCGGCUUUCUGGUCUGUAACUGACGCUGAGGCGCGAAAGCGUGGGGAGCAAAC